Molecule: ribosomal RNA, 232 nt
Filed under: uncultured bacterium
Lineage: Bacteria
Description: partial 16S ribosomal RNA
Rfam family: Bacterial small subunit ribosomal RNA
Source: RNAcentral
UGAGUAACCUGCCCCCGACUCUGGGAUAACCCCGGGAAACCGGAGCUAAUACCGGAUACGAACCACUCAGGCAUCUGAGAGGCUGGAAAGAUUUAUCGGUCAGGGAUGGACUCGCGGCCUAUCAGCUUGUUGGUGGGGUAAUGGCCCACCAAGGCGACGACGGGUAGCCGGCCUGAGAGGGCGACCGGCCACACUGGGACUGAGACACGGCCCAGACUCCUACGGGAGGCAG